AAUGAACGCUGGCGGCAUGCCUUACACAUGCAAGUCGAACGGCAGCAUGACCUAGCUUGCUAGGUUGAUGGCGAGUGGCGAACGGGUGAGUAAUGCAUCGGAACGUGCCUUUUAGUGGGGGAUAACGUAGCGAAAGUUACGCUAAUACCGCAUAUUCUCUGAGGAGGAAAGCAGGGGACCGUCGGGCCUUGCGCUAGAAGAGCGGCCGAUGUCGGAUUAGCUAGUUGGUGAGGUAAAGGCUCACCAAGGCAACGAUCCGUAGCGGGUCUGAGAGGAUGAUCCGCCACACUGGGACUGAGACACGGCCCAGACUCCUACGGGAGGCAGCAGUGGGGAAUUUUGGACAAUGGGCGCAAGCCUGAUCCAGCCAUGCCGCGUGAGUGAAGAAGGCCUUCGGGUUGUAAAGCUCUUUCGGCUGGGAAGAAAUCGCACCCUCUAAUACAGGGUGUGGAUGACGGUACCAGCAUAAGAAGCACCGGCUAACUACGUG
RNAcentral lists this ribosomal RNA (490 nucleotides) under uncultured bacterium. Its description in RNAcentral is "partial 16S ribosomal RNA". It matches the Rfam family "Bacterial small subunit ribosomal RNA", at positions 29 to 507 of the family's 1533-position model. The record is from RNAcentral.